RNAcentral lists this long non-coding RNA (3096 nucleotides) under Sorghum bicolor (sorghum). RNAcentral's name for it is "long non-coding RNA (SBIC_LNC002582)". Lineage: Eukaryota; Viridiplantae; Streptophyta; Magnoliopsida; Poales; Poaceae. The record is from RNAcentral.
UAGCUUGCUGCAAAGGUGUGUGAAGCUCAGCAAGUAACUGACGCAGCCAAGAUGCCUCAGCUACAGCAUUGGUGACAGCACGAUACUCCGCCUCGGCACUGGAACGGGAGACAGUAUUUUGGCGCUUGGAGGAACUGCGUAGCCUGAGGUCGACUUGCGAGUUUCAGGACAGCCUGCCCAAUCCGCGUCAGAGUAGACCACCAGCUCACUCUGACUAGAAGCACGCAAAUGAAGACCCAAAUCAAGAGUGCCACGAACAUAACGAAGGAUCCGCUUCAAGGCUGCAAGAUGAGGCUCACGCGGAUCAUGCAUGUAAAGACACACCUGCUGAACAGCAUAUACGAUAUCAGGCCGAGUGAAGGUGAGGUACUGUAAAGCGCCAGCAAGACUGCGAAAAUCCGUAGGAUCUGAAAUAGGGUCACCAUCAGCAGACAACUUCGGGUUGAGAUCUCCUGGAGUUGAACAUGGCUUACAGGCAGCCAUCCCAGCACGAUCCAAAAUAUCCAACAUGUACUGGUGCUGUGACAGAAAUAACCCAGAGGGAGUGCGCUGAACUUGCAUGCCCAAGAAAUUAUGAAGCUCACCCAAAUCCUUCAUGGAGAAUUCUUGCUGGAAGGAGUCAAUGAUCCGACGAAGCAAUUCCGUAGAGGAGGCUGUCAAAACAAUGUCAUCCACAUAUAGCAAGAGGUAGGUAGUAUCCUGACCACGGUGAAACACGAACAGCGAAGUGUCUGUUUUGGUCUCCACAAAGCCCAGGCGCAGAAGGAAGCUUGCAAAUCUACUGUACCAAGCACGCGGCGCCUGUUUCAACCCAUAGAGAGAACGAUUGAGGAGGCACACAAAAUUUGGGUGAGUGGAAUCCUCAAAUCUUGAAGGCUGCACGCAGUAAAGUCUCAGAUAGGUUCCCAUGAAGGAAAGCGUUCUUCACAUCAAGCUGAUGCACUGGCCAGUGGCGAGAGACCGCAAGAGACAGAACUGUUCGGACAGUAGCAGGCUUCACAACGGGGCUGAAGGUCUCAUCAUAGUCAAUGCCAGGACGUUGAGUGAACCCACGAAGAACCCAACGCGCUUUGUAGCGUUCAAGAGAGCCAUCGGCCUUAAACUUGUGUUUGAACACCCAUUUGCCUGUAACCACAUUGGAUCGAGGUGGACGCUGAACAAGAUCCCAAGUGUGGUUAGCAAGAAGUGCAGAGAACUCCUCCUGCAUAGCUGCGCGCCAAUUGGGGUCGGCAAGCGCGGCGCGGUAGGUCCUCGGGAUGGGUGACAGGGAGGCAACCUGAAGAGUGACCGGCUGUGGUUUGACCGGCUGUCGAAAGCCGGCCUUUCCCCUCGUUCUCAUGGCAUGCUGAUUGGCCACAGGAACGAUGCGAACAGCCCCAGCAGGAAGGCGUGCUGAAGCAGCAGAAGCCGGUGUCGCAGGCCGAGGUACUGUUGGAGCAGCGGGUGGUGGUGAAACCAGGGGACGCGGGCGACGGCUGUACGUCAGGCGGACAGGUGGUAUGGGCGCCAGUGCAGCCAUAUCAGUCGGGGAAAAGUGGACUGCGGGCGCCGGUGGUACACAAAACCGCCCCAGCGUUGAAAGCCGAGCGGUGGAGCUACAGGUGCAUAGCCGGCGGCUGUUGUUGGCCGGCUGGCUGCCGGGCUAGUCGUCGUCUGAGCAGCAGGUGCUGGUGAUGGCCGGCUGGAGGCCAGGCUGGUCACCGGGGGCCGGCUGGCUGCUGGAGACCUGCUGAACACCAAUGGAGCCUGGUUGGCUGCUGGGAGGUGCAGGCUGGUCGGCAUGGUAGUGUCCAAGGGGUGGCAGCCGCGUGUGGCUGCGCGGUAACACCUGGAGUACCUGUAGGAACAAAAAAUGAUGGCACUGGUGGAGCCACCACAGGGUCAGUAGAUAAAAAAUCGAAGUCCUGAGACGCGGGGCAUUCAGGGGCCUCGGAGAAUGGGAAGGAAGUCUCAUCAAAGACAACAUGCCGAGAAAUAAUGAUCCGGUUGGAGGACCGGUCGAGACAGCAAUAGCCUUGGUGAUGAGGAGAAUAACCGAGGAAGACACACAAGGAUGAGCGGGGAGCGAGUUUGUGUGGUGCAGUGGCAGACAAGUUGGGAUAACAACGACAACCAAAGACACGAAGAUGCUCAUAAGUUGGCGGGGAGCCAAAAAGAGCUUGAUGAGGAGUGUUGAAGUGAAGUGUCUUGGUAGGAAGAAUGUUAAGAAGCAUGGUGGCAGUGGAGAGUGCCUCAACCCAAUAUGCAGGUGGGACACUGGCCUGAAAUAGUAAAGAGCGAACAACGUUAUUAAUGGUUCGGAUAACAUGUUCGGCUUUACCAUUCUGAGAUGAAGUGUACGGGCAGGACAUGCGCAACUGAACACCAUGGGAGAGGAAGAAAGCACGGGCGCUGAGGUUGUCGAACUCUCGGCCAUUGUCGCACUGUAUGCCCUGAAUAGGAACACGAAACUGAGUAGCGACAUAGGCAAAGAAGUGAGACAAGGUGAAAAAGUGUCAGACUGAGUCGAAGUGAAACGCNNNNNNNNNNNNNNNNNNNNNNNNNNNNNNNNNNNNNNNNNNNNNNNNNNNNNNNNNNNNNNNNNNNNNNNNNNNNNNNNNNNNNNNNNNNNNNNNNNNNUGAUGCUGAACAGGGUUGGCAGACAUGUAUACAGUGCUGAUGUUAUCACAGUAAACCAAGGUAGCUUGCUGUAAAGGUGUGUGAAGCUCAGCAAGUAACUGACGCAGCCAAGAUGCCUCAGCUACAGCAUUGGCGACAGCACGAUACUCCGCCUCGGCACUGGAACGGGAGACAGUAUUCUGGCGCUUGGAGGACCAGGAAACUAGGUUGUCACCAAGAAAAACUGCGUAGCCUGAGGUAGACUUGCGAGUUUCAGGACAGCCUGCCCAAUCCGCAUCAGAGUAGACCACCAGCUCACUCUGACUAGAAGCACGCAAAUGAAGACCCAAAUCAAGAGUGCCACGAAUAUAACGAAGGAUCCGCUUCAAGGCUGCAAGAUGAGGCUCACGCGGAUCAUGCAUGUAAAGACACACCUGCUGAACAGCAUAUGCAAUAUCAGGCCGAGUGAAGGUGAGGUACUGUAAAGCGCCAGCAAGA